AUGGCGAAGAAGGCCGCAAAGCGAGCUGUUGGUGAAGCAAGGGGUCGGGCAUAUGAGGACCUCUACCAACGGUUAGGCACGAAGGAAGGUGAAAGGGACAUCUAUAAGAUGGCUAAGAUCCGGGAGAGGAAGACGAGGGAUAUUGGCCAAGUCAAAUGCAUCAAGGACGGAGCAGGCCAACUCUUGGUGAAGGACGAAGAGAUUAAGCAUAGAUGGCGGGAGUACUUCGACAAGCUGUUCAAUGGGGAGAAUGAGAGUUCUAGCAUUGAACUGAAUGACUCCUUUGAUGAGACCAGCAUGUGUUUUGUGCGGCGCAUCCAGGAGUCUGAGGUGAAGGAGGCUUUAAAAAGGAUGAAAGGAGGCAAGGCGAUGGGCCCUGAUUGUAUCCCCAUUGAGGUGUGGAAAGGUCUCGGGGACAUAGCGAUAGUAUGGCUAACCAAGCUUUUCAACCUCAUUUUUCGGGCAAACAAGAUGCCAGAAGAAUGGAGACGAAGUAUAGUACCAAUCUUCAAGAACAAGGGGGAUGUUCAGAGUUGUACUAAUUACCGUGGAAUUAAGCUGAUGAGCCAUACAAUGAAGCUAUGGGAGAGAGUCAUUGAGCACCGCUUAAGAAGAAUGACAAGCGUGACCAAAAAUCAGUUUGGUUUCAUGCCUGGGAGGUCGACCAUGGAAGCCAUUUUCUUGGUACGACAACUUAUGGAGAGAUAUAGGGAGCAUAAGAAGGACUUGCAUAUGGUGUUCAUUGACUUGGAGAAGGCCUAUGAUAAGAUACCGCGGAAUGUCAUGUGGUGGGCCUUGGAGAAACACAAAGUCCCAGCAAAGUACAUUACCCUCAUCAAGGACAUGUACAAUAAUGUUGUGACAAGUGUUCGAACAAGUGAUGUCGACACCGAUGACUUCCCGAUUAAGAUAGGACUGCAUCAGGGUCAGCUUUGA
RNAcentral lists this ribosomal RNA (936 nucleotides) under Triticum aestivum (bread wheat). RNAcentral's name for it is "partial small subunit ribosomal RNA". Lineage: Eukaryota; Viridiplantae; Streptophyta; Magnoliopsida; Poales; Poaceae. The record is from RNAcentral.